Molecule: long non-coding RNA, 2046 nt
Organism: Oncorhynchus tshawytscha (Chinook salmon)
Lineage: Eukaryota; Metazoa; Chordata; Actinopteri; Salmoniformes; Salmonidae
Exons: 3
Source: RefSeq, a predicted model, not a curated record
GGUAAGCUAGCUAGAUACUCUACCAGCAGCAUCCUAGUUACCAUAGCUACUCUACCAGCAGCAUCCUAGUUACCAUAGCUACUCUACCAGCAGCAUCCUAGUUACCAUAGCUACCACUACAUCAUCACCGGCUGUCUGCAUUUCUUGUGGACCGAUGGAGCUCCCCGGUUGUUUCUUCCACCUGUUAAAUCCCGGUGAGGCUUCUCCCUCUCUGGUUGACGGAUGCUGGCUACCUCUGUCCGGUUCUCCUCCCUUCACUAGAUGGACGGUAACUUUAGUGUUUAAACCCUCUGUGUCCAAGGACCAAACUUUUGAAUAUUAUUUUCAGGGCGCCUCAAUAGCAGGUAUUGAACCCCGGGUAAAUAAUCACUAGUCAGAACCUCAACCUCAGUAUACAUUCAUUAUAAAAAAUAAUCUUAAUUUCUGAUAUUGUGAGUAAACAACCUCGAGAGUGCGUCUUCCAGCCCUCCAAUAAAUUACAUCAUUCAACCCUCCCGGUUAGUAAAUGUACCUCAACAUCCCCCGGAGAAGGCAGAGUAACGACACCAGCCUUUUAGCGGGGCUGACAGACUGACUACAACGCUCGCGUCGCUUAAUGAAAUUCGUUAUUAAAAAUGACACACUGCUCGCGCCGUCUAGAAGUCAGUUCUAUUUGAGACGCAGAUCAUGCUGCAUCUCCUCAUUGGUUAAUAGAAGCAGGUACCCAUGUGCCAUCUCCUCAUUGGUUAAUAGAAGCAGGUAGCCACGUGUCAUCUUAUUUAGCAAAAAACAUAACUUAACAUGACCAUAACUUCUUUAAACAAUAAAAGCUCAUUUACAAACGUUUCUGAAAAUGGAUGUAUAGCUUUUUGGAAUGAAACUCUUCUUAUGUUUCCCCAUCUGAGCUCAGAGUAGAUGAGAGAUGUAAUGUUUGUCUCUGUUGUGUUGAAGCCCAAUCAAGCAGGAGAGACCAGCCUCCCCUGUUCCCAGCUGUGUGUCCAUGAAGAGUGACGGGUCUAUGGGUCAUCCUAUAUUCUUUAGAGAGGGAGACUUUUCUACUGAACAAAGGCACAAGGACAACGUAGCACGUCCUGUGAACACGUCAGGGUUCCAUAUCCUCAGUCAGACCAGCAGAAACUGGACCAGCAGCACAACAAGGUAACACGUCUGGUGAACAGGUCAGAGUUCAUUAUCCUCAGUCAGACCAGCAGAAACUGGACCAGCAGCACAACAAGGUAACACGUCUGGUGAACAGGUCAGAGUUCAUAUCCUCAGGCAGACCAGCAGAAACUGGACCAGCAGCACAACAAGGUAACACGUCUGGUGAACAGGUCAGAGUUCAUAUCCUCAGUCAGACCAGUAGAAACUGGAUCAGCAGCACAACAAGGUAACACGUCUGGUGAACAGGUCAGAGUUCAUAUCCUCAGGCAGACCAGUAGAAACUGGAUCAGCAGCACAACAAGGUAUCACGUCUGGUGGAGCCUGUGUCAGUACUGAUAGGAUGGAAAGAAAGGGAACGCUGCUCUCAGAUCAGCUUUCUCCAUUCAAAUAUGUUCUUAACAUUAGAAUUAUGUCAUAAUACUGACCACGGAUCAGGUUCUAUUAUCCCCUCUGGCUGCAAAUACUGAGGCAGUUAUUCUAAUGCUUACCCCCAAGAAAUGCACUAAAUCACAGAUUUGGCACAUCAUUGUGUUCAUGUUAGGAUACACAUCAUGAAAUAUAUUGAGACAAAAUACAGACAGAGCCUACAAGAAGCAAAAUAUAACUCAAUAUACUGAACAAUGUGAUUGAAAUAGGCCUAAAGCCAACAGUUCAUACUUUAAUGAUCAUCUCAGUUUUCAUUUGCAGCUAAUUUGUUUACGUCCCUUUACGUCAACUGCAAAGACAACUUUGUUCUGAAUUUAUCGGUGUCACAGAGAGACGGAUAAACCAUGUGAUUCUGUGUUUAGCAGAGAUCUUCUGUGUAUAAAGUCAUGCGGAAGGUCAAAAAAAAAUGUAAAGACUCACUCAGCUGUUCUAGUGGUCUGAGGCAGGUGGUAGAUUACUCAGCUGUUCUAGUGGUCUGAG